RNAcentral lists this ribosomal RNA (245 nucleotides) under uncultured Solitalea sp. Its description in RNAcentral is "partial 16S ribosomal RNA". It matches the Rfam family "Bacterial small subunit ribosomal RNA", at positions 524 to 768 of the family's 1533-position model. Lineage: Bacteria; Pseudomonadati; Bacteroidota; Sphingobacteriia; Sphingobacteriales; Sphingobacteriaceae. The record is from RNAcentral.
GACGAAGGAUGCAAGCGUUAUCCGGAUUCAUUGGGUUUAAAGGGUGCGUAGGCGGUCCUGUAAGUCAGUGGUGAAAGCUCUCAGCUUAACUGAGAAACUGCCAUUGAUACUGCAAGACUUGAGUACAGAUGAUGUUGGCGGAAUAUGACAUGUAGCGGUGAAAUGCAUAGAUAUGUCAUAGAACACCGAUUGCGAAGGCAGCUGACAAAACUGUAACUGACGCUGAGGCACGAAAGUGUGGGGAU